AAAAUCUCUUACGAUUUCAGUCAGAAGGAAAAGAGUCUACAUUCAGGCCAUGGUGUGGCAAGACUGGUAUCCUCACAGGCACAGAGUGAGUGAGUGUCCUCUAUCGAAGGUUCUACACCGUCUUUGAACCAUUACAAGUGAAUAAUCAUCAUCCUUCCUAUUUUAACGGGGCUGGAGAACACAACGUCCCCUUUGGUUUACAACCCGGGAAGAUCCUUCAGGAUGGUAGUCAUGCCCGCUUGCGCGAAUUAGAAGCCACAAGAUCAAUUUUCUUAGCCAUUUCUGUGACCUGCCUGUGCAAGAGGAGUGGUUUGGUGAGACUUUGCCUGCAGGGAUCAGUGGAGUCGGUGGCCUGUGCCUGACAUAAGACACGAGUGCGGGGCCCCGGGCGCCACAGCCAGGAGCUCCCGGGCGGUUCUCGGCUCCUUGAUGAAAGGCUGCUUUGGACCAAAGGUUACGCACUGCUCUGCUCACCCCUCGUCUGUGACCCUGGGGCAGGAAGACUAAUGCACCAGAUCAAACCAGGAGCAGAGGGAAAAUCUUCAAGCUAAGCCUGUGUGAGGGGUUUCUUAAAGGCAGAAUUUAUAGUUUAUAAAAAAACUCACUGGCAGCCUCUAGCGGGACUAGAUAUUCAUUGUUUAAGGUUAUAUUUGCCAUGCACUCAAUGACUCUGUUUUACUGCCUAGGCAUUUUCUUUGGCACGAUCUUCUUUCUUUUACCCGUCAUCGUGGCCGGUUGGAUAAUUGUAAAGCACAAACAAGGCGAAACUACAGAUGAAAAAUGUAAGGAGAGUAUCCAUUUACAUCCUCAAGAAGACAGCGGUGUAAGUCCUCAAACUGUGCAAACAAAUCAGGAAAACAGCAGUGUCCUUCCUUGACAAAGUAUAUAAAGCUGGAGAACACCUCGAAUUAAAAUGUUGGUCGGGAAGGAAGCGAUUCAUUUCAACAGAAUAAGAUGUGAAACGCAUAAAAUCCCAACUGGAAGUGACCUCACAGAGAUGCAAGCAUGUGCACUUGAAGAUGCCGAAGUGCCCCCGGAAUCUAGGAAAAGCUCCCUCCUCUUAGUUUGGAUUACUGUCACUCCUUCACCCUCUGUCCUUGUGCUCAAAGCA
Molecule: long non-coding RNA, 1111 nt
Organism: Lynx canadensis (Canada lynx)
Lineage: Eukaryota; Metazoa; Chordata; Mammalia; Carnivora; Felidae
Exons: 3
Source: RefSeq, a predicted model, not a curated record